This 2705-nucleotide ribosomal RNA is filed under the name Escherichia albertii. RNAcentral describes it as "partial 23S ribosomal RNA". It matches the Rfam family "Bacterial large subunit ribosomal RNA". Lineage: Bacteria; Pseudomonadati; Pseudomonadota; Gammaproteobacteria; Enterobacterales; Enterobacteriaceae. The record is from RNAcentral.
AAGCGUCGGUAAGGUGAUAUGAACCGUUAUAACCGGCGAUGUCCGAAUGGGGAAACCCAGUGUGUUUCGACACACUAUCAUUAACUGAAUCCAUAGGUUAAUGAGGCGAACCGGGGGAACUGAAACAUCUAAGUACCCCGAGGAAAAGAAAUCAACCGAGAUUCCCCCAGUAGCGGCGAGCGAACGGGGAGGAGCCCAGAGCCUGAAUCAGUGUGUGUGUUAGUGGAAGCGUCUGGAAAGGCGCGCGAUACAGGGUGACAGCCCCGUACACAAAAAUGCACAUGCUGUGAGCUCGAUGAGUAGGGCGGGACACGUGGUAUCCUGUCUGAAUAUGGGGGGACCAUCCUCCAAGGCUAAAUACUCCUGACUGACCGAUAGUGAACCAGUACCGUGAGGGAAAGGCGAAAAGAACCCCGGCGAGGGGAGUGAAAAAGAACCUGAAACCGUGUACGUACAAGCAGUGGGAGCCCUGAUUUAUCAGGGUGACUGCGUACCUUUUGUAUAAUGGGUCAGCGACUUAUAUUCUGUAGCAAGGUUAACCGAAUAGGGGAGCCGGAGGGAAACCGAGUCUUAACUGGGCGUUAAGUUGCAGGGUAUAGACCCGAAACCCGGUGAUCUAGCCAUGGGCAGGUUGAAGGUUGGGUAACACUAACUGGAGGACCGAACCGACUAAUGUUGAAAAAUUAGCGGAUGACUUGUGGCUGGGGGUGAAAGGCCAAUCAAACCGGGAGAUAGCUGGUUCUCCCCGAAAGCUAUUUAGGUAGCGCCUCGUGAAUUCAUCUCCGGGGGUAGAGCACUGUUUCGGCAAGGGGGUCAUCCCGACUUACCAACCCGAUGCAAACUGCGAAUACCGGAGAAUGUUAUCACGGGAGACACACGGCGGGUGCUAACGUCCGUCGUGAAGAGGGAAACAACCCAGACCGCCAGCUAAGGUCCCAAAGUCAUGGUUAAGUGGGAAACGAUGUGGGAAGGCCCAGACAGCCAGGAUGUUGGCUUAGAAGCAGCCAUCAUUUAAAGAAAGCGUAAUAGCUCACUGGUCGAGUCGGCCUGCGCGGAAGAUGUAACGGGGCUAAACCAUGCACCGAAGCUGCGGCAGCGACACUGUGUGUUGUUGGGUAGGGGAGCGUUCUGUAAGCCUGCGAAGGUGUGCUGUGAGGUAUGCUGGAGGUAUCAGAAGUGCGAAUGCUGACAUAAGUAACGAUAAAGCGGGUGAAAAGCCCGCUCGCCGGAAGACCAAGGGUUCCUGUCCAACGUUAAUCGGGGCAGGGUGAGUCGACCCCUAAGGCGAGGCCGAAAGGCGUAGUCGAUGGGAAACAGGUUAAUAUUCCUGUACUUGGUGUUACUGCGAAGGGGGGACGGAGAAGGCUAUGUUGGCCGGGCGACGGUUGUCCCGGUUUAAGCGUGUAGGCUGGUUUUCCAGGCAAAUCCGGAAAAUCAAGGCUGAGGCGUGAUGACGAGGCACUACGGUGCUGAAGCGACAAAUGCCCUGCUUCCAGGAAAAGCCUCUAAGCAUCAGGUAACAUCAAAUCGUACCCCAAACCGACACAGGUGGUCAGGUAGAGAAUACCAAGGCGCUUGAGAGAACUCGGGUGAAGGAACUAGGCAAAAUGGUGCCGUAACUUCGGGAGAAGGCACGCUGAUAUGUAGGUGAAGCGACUUGCUCGUGGAGCUGAAAUCAGUCGAAGAUACCAGCUGGCUGCAACUGUUUAUUAAAAACACAGCACUGUGCAAACACGAAAGUGGACGUAUACGGUGUGACGCCUGCCCGGUGCCGGAAGGUUAAUUGAUGGGGUCAGCGCAAGCGAAGCUCUUGAUCGAAGCCCCGGUAAACGGCGGCCGUAACUAUAACGGUCCUAAGGUAGCGAAAUUCCUUGUCGGGUAAGUUCCGACCUGCACGAAUGGCGUAAUGAUGGCCAGGCUGUCUCCACCCGAGACUCAGUGAAAUUGAACUCGCUGUGAAGAUGCAGUGUACCCGCGGCAAGACGGAAAGACCCCGUGAACCUUUACUAUAGCUUGACACUGAACACUGGUCCUUGAUGUGUAGGAUAGGUGGGAGGCUUUGAAGUGUGGACGCCAGUCUGCAUGGAGCCGUCCUUGAAAUACCACCCUUUAAUGGCUGGUGUUCUAACGUGGGCCCGUAAUCCGGGUUGCGGACAGUGUCUGGUGGGUAGUUUGACUGGGGCGGUCUCCUCCUAAAGAGUAACGGAGGAGCACGAAGGUUGGCUAAUCCUGGUCGGACAUCAGGAGGUUAGUGCAAUGGCAUAAGCCAGCUUGACUGCGAGCGUGACGGCGCGAGCAGGUGCGAAAGCAGGUCAUAGUGAUCCGGUGGUUCUGAAUGGAAGGGCCAUCGCUCAACGGAUAAAAGGUACUCCGGGGAUAACAGGCUGAUACCGCCCAAGAGUUCAUAUCGACGGCGGUGUUUGGCACCUCGAUGUCGGCUCAUCACAUCCUGGGGCUGAAGUAGGUCCCAAGGGUAUGGCUGUUCGCCAUUUAAAGUGGUACGCGAGCUGGGUUUAGAACGUCGUGAGACAGUUCGGUCCCUAUCUGCCGUGGGCGCUGGAGAACUGAGGGGGGCUGCUCCUAGUACGAGAGGACCGGAGUGGACGCAUCACUGGUGUUCGGGUUGUCAUGCCAAUGGCACUGCCCGGUAGCUAAAUGCGGAAGAGAUAAGUGCUGAAAGCAUCUAAGCACGAAACUUGCCCCGA